RNAcentral lists this ribosomal RNA (90 nucleotides) under Symbiodinium sp. PpBA1. Its description in RNAcentral is "partial 18S ribosomal RNA". It matches the Rfam family "Eukaryotic small subunit ribosomal RNA", at positions 1742 to 1831 of the family's 1831-position model. Lineage: Eukaryota; Dinophyceae; Suessiales; Symbiodiniaceae. The record is from RNAcentral.
GUUGCGUCGGAAGUUUCAUGAACCUUAUCACUUAGAGGAAGGAGAAUCGUAACAAGGUUUCCGUAGGUGAACCUGCGGAAGGAUCAUUCG